CAGCGRRGAAGAAAGCGUGCCGUUUAAUMCMCGGUACGGACGACAUCACUCGCAGAAGAAGCACCGGCUAACUCCGUGCCAGCAGCCGCGGUAAUACGGAGGGUGCAAGCGUUAAUCGGAAUUACUGGGCGUAAAGCGCGCGUAGGCGGCGUGUCACGCCGGGUGUGAAAGCCCCGGGCUCAACCUGGGAACGGCAUCCGGAACGGGCAGGCUAGAGUGCAGGAGAGGAAGGUAGAAUUCCCGGUGUAGCGGUGAAAUGCGUAGAGAUCGGGAGGAAUACCAGUGGCGAAGGCGGCCUUCUGGACUGACACUGACGCUGAGGUGCGAAAGCGUGGGUAGCAAACAGGAUUAGAUACCCUGGUAGUCCACGCCGUAAACGAUGUCGACUAGCCGUUGGGUCCCUUGAGGACUUAGUGGCGCAGUUAACGCGAUAAGUCGACCGCCUGGGGAGUACGGCCGCAAGGUUAAAACUCAAAUGAAUUGACGGGGGCCCGCACAAGCGGUGGAGCAUGUGGUUUAAUUCGAUGCAACGCGAAGAACCUUACCUACCCUUGACAUCCUGCGAACCCGGAAGAGAUUCCGGGGUGCCUUCGGGAGCGCARARACAGGUGCUGCAUGGCUGUCGUCASCUCSUGUUGUGAAAWGUUGGGNUUAA
This 655-nucleotide ribosomal RNA is filed under the name Chromohalobacter canadensis. RNAcentral's name for it is "bacterial SSU rRNA". It matches the Rfam family "Bacterial small subunit ribosomal RNA", at positions 434 to 1084 of the family's 1533-position model. The record is from RNAcentral. Lineage: Bacteria; Pseudomonadati; Pseudomonadota; Gammaproteobacteria; Oceanospirillales; Halomonadaceae.